This is a long non-coding RNA of Mangifera indica (mango), 393 nucleotides long. RefSeq lists it as uncharacterized. NCBI's taxonomy places the organism in Eukaryota, Viridiplantae, Streptophyta, Magnoliopsida, Sapindales, Anacardiaceae. The record is from RefSeq and is a predicted model, not a curated record. The transcript has 2 exons.
UUUUUAAUUCUGUUUAGUUUUCCUUACCAUUUGUCAAUCAUGUGAUACAGUGAUUGCAGUCUGAUUCGUUUGGACCGGUUGGAGUAUCAUAUAAGAGAAGAACUAAACAAAACAGCACCUUGCAAAUUGGUUGUGCUAAAUCCUCUCAAGGUGGUGAUUACCAACCUAGAAUCUGGCUCAAUCAUGCACCUUGAUGCCAAGAGAUGGCUUGAUGCUCAAACAGAUGAUGCAUCUGCUUUCUAGAAGGUGAGAAUUAGAGAUCACUCAGCAAUGACUUAAGAGAGUAAAAGUGAUUAUAAAUUCCGCACAAGUUGCAGGGAUUACUUUAUAUUUUUUCAGCUUUGGCUUUGAGUUCAUAUGUUAUUUUAGUCUGAUGGCAAAAUAAUUUUCUAA